GACGUCGCCUUUGGGGCUUGAAGAA
This 25-nucleotide microRNA is filed under the name Bombyx mori (domestic silkworm). Its description in RNAcentral is "bmo-miR-3284". The record is from miRBase by way of RNAcentral. Lineage: Eukaryota; Metazoa; Arthropoda; Insecta; Lepidoptera; Bombycidae.